This 233-nucleotide ribosomal RNA is filed under the name uncultured bacterium. RNAcentral's name for it is "partial 16S ribosomal RNA". It matches the Rfam family "Bacterial small subunit ribosomal RNA", at positions 100 to 334 of the family's 1533-position model. The record is from RNAcentral.
CGGGACGGGUGAGUAAUGUCUGGGAAACUGCCUGAUGGAGGGGGAUAACUACUGGAAGCGGUAGCUAAUACCGCAUAACGUCGCAAGACCAAAGAGGGGGACCUUAGGGCCUCUUGCCAUCGGAUGUGCCCAGAUGGGAUUAGCUAGUAGGUGGGGUAACGGCCCACCUAGGCGACGAUCCCUAGCUGGUCUGAGAGGAUGACCAGCCACACUGGAACUGAGACACGGUCCAG